AUGCUUUUGUAGUUCAUAAAUGUAGUGAUUGGCUUUUCAUGCUCAUGUGUGAGAUAUGCCUUUAUCAAACUUUGUUCCCAUGUUGGCACAUUACCUGUCUGAUG
Callithrix jacchus (white-tufted-ear marmoset) is the source of this 104-nucleotide small nucleolar RNA. The record is from Ensembl. Lineage: Eukaryota; Metazoa; Chordata; Mammalia; Primates; Cebidae.